UGCUGGUUCAGAUGGAAGAGUAAAAUUAGAUCUAGUGCAUUGCUAUGUUAGGCCUAGGAGGCACCAGGAACUUCCUUGUUUGGUGCACCAGGAGCUGAAGCAUUGCAGGAGACUAGAGACCAGCAUUUUGGUCUUUCAAAUCAUCAGCA
This 149-nucleotide microRNA precursor is filed under the name Oryza sativa (Asian cultivated rice). Its description in RNAcentral is "miR5791 stem-loop (osa-MIR5791)". Lineage: Eukaryota; Viridiplantae; Streptophyta; Magnoliopsida; Poales; Poaceae. The record is from miRBase by way of RNAcentral.